ACAAGAGCCCGUAGUCGAAUCGCCCUUUAGCGGGGUGAAUGUGACGGUCGCCACAGACCCAAGUCGCUCGGACGGCUGUGUGAAACCGACUAGAAUGUCGAGCCUGAGAGGGUGAUAGCCCCGUUGCACACGGCCUCCGGCGACGCCACUGUGGCGAGACAAAUGAGUCGGAUAGUUUGGGAUUGCUGUCCAAAGAGCGGUGGUACACUCCACCGAAGGCUAAAUACCGGCACGAAACCGAUAGCGAACAAGUACUGUGAAGGAAAGUUGAAAAGGCGUCUGAAAAGACGGUCAAAAGUACGUGAAACUGCCGGCGGGGAAGCGGAGCGUCCGUUCGUCCGUCUUGGUUCUUCUCGAGCCAUGACGGAGUGCGAUGGGGCGUCGUCUGUCGGGAGGCGCUGUGUGUGCCUGACGGGUUCUCUCGAACGCGUCAAUGCAACCGGCGUCUCUCUCGGCAGGGGGUGCCCGCGGAGCGAUCGAGCAGGCCACUAUCAUGGUAACCCACUUCUGUGAGUUAUCCUGAUGGGCCUGCACAUCCACGCUGCUGAACGGCCGCUCCGACCCGUCUUGAAACACGGACCAAGGAGGCUGAGGCCACAACGAGUCGUGGGGUGGCAAACCUGACGGCGGAGCGAAAGCGAGAGUGUUAAAGUAGCGCCUACAAAGACGGCAAAACUGUCGGCACUGACCGCCCUUUACCCCACAAAAGGGCGAGCCGGAGUUGCGGCCGCAGGACCCGAAAGAUGGUGAACUAUGCCUGGCCAAGACGAAGCCAGAGGAAACUCUGGUGGAGGUCUGGACAAGUUUUGACGUGCAAAUCAAUUUGGCGAGCUGGGUAUAGGGGCGAUAGACUAAUCGAACCAUCUAGUAGCUGGUUCCCUCUGAAAUUUCCCUCGGGAUCGCUGGAGCGCACACGACAGCAACUUCGCCGGGUAGAGCAAUGACUAGAGGCACCGGGACCCACGGUCUCGGCCUAUUCUCAAACUCCCAACCGGCGAGCAGGCUCCU
RNAcentral lists this ribosomal RNA (1008 nucleotides) under Ceratomyxa sp. 4 PBS-2017. Its description in RNAcentral is "eukaryotic LSU rRNA". It matches the Rfam family "Eukaryotic large subunit ribosomal RNA", at positions 101 to 1086 of the family's 3401-position model. The record is from RNAcentral. Lineage: Eukaryota; Metazoa; Cnidaria; Myxozoa; Bivalvulida; Ceratomyxidae.